RNAcentral lists this ribosomal RNA (431 nucleotides) under uncultured bacterium. RNAcentral's name for it is "partial 16S ribosomal RNA". It matches the Rfam family "Bacterial small subunit ribosomal RNA", at positions 29 to 507 of the family's 1533-position model. The record is from RNAcentral.
AACGAACGCUGGCGGCAGGCUUAACACAUGCAAGUCGAGCGCCCCGCAAGGGGAGCGGCAGACGGGUGAGUAACGCGUGGGAACGUACCUUUUGGUUCGGAACAACUCCGGGAAACUGGAGCUAAUACCGGAUAAGCCCUAACGGGGAAAGAUUUAUCGCCGAAAGAUCGGCCCGCGUCUGAUUAGCUAGUUGGUGAGGUAACGGCUCACCAAGGCGACGAUCAGUAGCUGGUCUGAGAGGAUGAUCAGCCACACUGGGACUGAGACACGGCCCAGACUCCUACGGGAGGCAGCAGUGAGGAAUAUUGGACAAUGGGCGCAAGCCUGAUCCAGCCAUGCCGCGUGAGUGAUGAAGGCCUUAGGGUUGUAAAGCUCUUUUGUCCGGGAAGAUAAUGACUGUACCGGAAGAAUAAGCCCCGGCUAACUUCGUG